Molecule: ribosomal RNA, 1097 nt
Filed under: Escherichia coli
Lineage: Bacteria; Pseudomonadati; Pseudomonadota; Gammaproteobacteria; Enterobacterales; Enterobacteriaceae
Description: partial 23S ribosomal RNA
Rfam family: Bacterial large subunit ribosomal RNA
Source: RNAcentral
GGGACCAUCCUCCAAGGCUAAAUACUCCUGACUGACCGAUAGUGAACCAGUACCGUGAGGGAAAGGCGAAAAGAACCCCGGCGAGGGGAGUGAAAAAGAACCUGAAACCGUGUACGUACAAGCAGUGGGAGCCUCUUAAUGGGGUGACUGCGUACCUUUUGUAUAAUGGGUCAGCGACUUAUAUUCUGUAGCAAGGUUAACCGAAUAGGGGAGCCGAAGGGAAACCGAGUCUUAACUGGGCGUUAAGUUGCAGGGUAUAGACCCGAAACCCGGUGAUCUAGCCAUGGGCAGGUUGAAGGUUGGGUAACACUAACUGGAGGACCGAACCGACUAAUGUUGAAAAAUUAGCGGAUGACUUGUGGCUGGGGGUGAAAGGCCAAUCAAACCGGGAGAUAGCUGGUUCUCCCCGAAAGCUAUUUAGGUAGCGCCUCGUGAAUUCAUCUCCGGGGGUAGAGCACUGUUUCGGCAAGGGGGUCAUCCCGACUUACCAACCCGAUGCAAACUGCGAAUACCGGAGAAUGUUAUCACGGGAGACACACGGCGGGUGCUAACGUCCGUCGUGAAGAGGGAAACAACCCAGACCGCCAGCUAAGGUCCCAAAGUCAUGGUUAAGUGGGAAACGAUGUGGGAAGGCCCAGACAGCCAGGAUGUUGGCUUAGAAGCAGCCAUCAUUUAAAGAAAGCGUAAUAGCUCACUGGUCGAGUCGGCCUGCGCGGAAGAUGUAACGGGGCUAAACCAUGCACCGAAGCUGCGGCAGCGACACUAUGUGUUGUUGGGUAGGGGAGCGUUCUGUAAGCCUGUGAAGGUGGCCUGUGAGGGUUGCUGGAGGUAUCAGAAGUGCGAAUGCUGACAUAAGUAACGAUAAAGCGGGUGAAAAGCCCGCUCGCCGGAAGACCAAGGGUUCCUGUCCAACGUUAAUCGGGGCAGGGUGAGUCGACCCCUAAGGCGAGGCCGAAAGGCGUAGUCGAUGGGAAACAGGUUAAUAUUCCUGUACUUGGUGUUACUGCGAAGGGGGGACGGAGAAGGCUAUGUUGGCCGGGCGACGGUUGUCCCGGUUUAAGCGUGUAGGCUGGUUUUCCAGGCAAAUCCGGAAAACC